Paramuricea clavata is the source of this 102-nucleotide non-coding RNA. The record is from the annotation of a GenBank genome assembly. NCBI's taxonomy places the organism in Eukaryota, Metazoa, Cnidaria, Anthozoa, Malacalcyonacea, Plexauridae.
AUGAAACUUUACAAACCGACAAACAUUCUUGAACAUAUGGACAAACAGAUGUCUCACCGUCUGUUUGUCCAUAUGUUCAGGAAUGUUUGUCUGUUUGUAAAG